Molecule: RNA transcript, 2134 nt
Organism: Hippopotamus amphibius kiboko
Lineage: Eukaryota; Metazoa; Chordata; Mammalia; Artiodactyla; Hippopotamidae
Gene: ISY1
Gene name: ISY1 splicing factor homolog
Exons: 12
Source: RefSeq, a predicted model, not a curated record
AGGCCAGGGGCGAGCCCAGAGCCGCGGCCGCGGGGCCCAGAGGGACCGCGGGCAAUCUCGCCGCUGUUAUCGCGAGAGCAAAGCCCGCCGCGGCCCAGGACCCGUCGGAGACGCGUCCGUUCCACCGCGCAAGCGCAGUUCCGCCAGCGCCCCCUCUUUCGUACGCGCGCGUUGACGCGACGUCUGGACGACCAGGGACGGCCGCCUACGGGAGUGCGCCUGCAUUUUUCUCCCUCUCCGGGUCCGUGCCCCCUUUCACUUCCGGUCCCUCCCUUCCGGUCCUUCCCAGUUAUCCUUCCGAGCGAGAAGCUGGUGGUGCGGUCGGCUAGGCCCUUCGGUUCCCGUGCGGGUCCGCGCCCGGGACAGCGGAGCUCGGUGGGCUGGGGCCGCGCGGCCCGACGGCGCGCCCUCCCUGUCAGCAUGGCCCGAAACGCGGAAAAGGCCAUGACGGCCUUAGCAAGAUUUCGUCAGGCUCAGCUGGAAGAGGGAAAAGUAAAGGAGCGAAGACCCUUCCUUGCCUCGGAAUGUACUGAGUUGCCCAAAGCCGAGAAGUGGAGACGGCAGAUCAUUGGAGAGAUCUCAAAAAAAGUGGCUCAAAUUCAGAAUGCUGGUCUAGGUGAAUUCCGAAUUCGUGACCUGAAUGAUGAAAUUAACAAGCUGCUAAGAGAGAAAGGACACUGGGAGGUCCGGAUCAAGGAGCUGGGUGGUCCUGACUAUGGAAAAGUUGGCCCUAAAAUGCUGGAUCACGAAGGGAAAGAAGUCCCAGGAAAUCGAGGUUACAAGUACUUCGGAGCAGCAAAAGACCUGCCUGGCGUCAGAGAGCUGUUUGAGAAAGAACCUCUUCCUCCUCCAAGAAAGACACGUGCUGAGCUUAUGAAGGCGAUCGACUUUGAGUACUACGGUUACCUAGAUGAAGACGAUGGUGUUAUUGUGCCUUUGGAACAGGAAUAUGAAAAGAAACUCAGAGCCGAAUUAGUGGAAAAGUGGAAAGCAGAGAGAGAGGCCCGGCUGGCAAGAGGAGAAAAGGAAGAGGAGGAGGAGGAGGAAGAGGAGGAGGAAGAGAUCAACAUCUAUGCUGUCACCGAGGAGGAGAGACAGGCCCUCCUUAACGUUCUUGGAUGUAUGAACACACCGGAAGCCAGUGUGUCUCAGCCCAUGACCUCAUUGUGUCUGCCUCCGCGUCAGUGCAGGGAUAUGUGUUGAAUUAGUGGCUACGGUGAGCCUGGCCCACUCGAGGGGCGGGGCAGCAAACGUGCUCCGCGCGUAGCCCGAGGUCCGGGGUGACGGUCUGGUCAGUGGACGCCAUGGGAGAGGGCAGCUGUGACGGUGUGGGCAGGGCCCGUGAAGGGUCUGCUGGGGAGGUGACCCUGCAGCUGAGACCAGGAGAGGAGGAGCUAACCAAGCGAAGAGGCAGCGGGGACAGCAUUUACAGGAGGUUGCAGAGGUGCUGCAGCGGGUCCCGUGUGUCCUUUCACCCGGCGUCCCCAGUGGCGAAUCGUGCACAGUGACAAUGCGGUGUCCCCCGCGGAGACUGACGUGGUGUGACGCGCGUGUCCAGUGCUGUGUCUCUUAUCGCGUGUGUGGAUUCUCUGGGGCGACAGCAGCCUUCCUGGGCUGAGUCUGCCCUGAGGAGUGGACCUUCCACCCGUGGGGUUGCCUCAGUGGAUACAGCCAGACCGGUCCCCGGCGUGCGGGGCCCAGUGGGUCUUACCAGCAGCAGGGGAGAGGUUCCCCUGGGGCGUUCCCACCGGCCCCACCCGGCAGCUGGUGAGGGUGCGUGGGCCGGCGUCCGGCCCGGAGCCCUGCGGCCGUGGCCGUGCCCGCUCGGGCCUCCUCUCGCCCCGCCCCUCCGGGGCCACGGCGUUGCUGGGUGACCGUGGUUUCUGCUGACUCACAGGCAGCCUCUCUGGGGUGUUUCCUUCUACACGUGGUUCGUUUUUUUAAGUUGAAUUUUAAAAACAGAUAACGUAUUCACAGGAUUCAAGACCCACAAAAGUAUAUAGAGAUUCCACACAGCUCCUCUUUCACAGCCCUGUCCUCUGUCCACUGGUUCUCACGGAGGUCACUGGCUUCCCUUCUUAUUUUCUUCCUCGCACAAGAGGUCGCACAGUACCCGAUGUUCUGUUGCUUUUGU